Calidris pugnax (ruff) is the source of this 1294-nucleotide long non-coding RNA. RefSeq lists it as uncharacterized. NCBI's taxonomy places the organism in Eukaryota, Metazoa, Chordata, Aves, Charadriiformes, Scolopacidae. The transcript has 4 exons. The record is from RefSeq and is a predicted model, not a curated record.
GAGGUGUCACACGAACCCACCUUGCAGCCUCUCAAUACAGUAGCUGGGUACCGUGCUAAAGCCCUGCUGAAACUGAAAACAAAUGGCUCUUCCCUCUAAUUCUGUGAAGAUUUAUAUGGAGGAACAACGUGGGCACCAGCAAUAACUACGGAGCAAUACCAUGGUGGGACCAUGCAAUCCAGACUGCACAUACACACUACAUGGAGCACAGAUUUAUUGUACCCCCUUCUAGCACAGACUGCUUGGACAAGCUGCUAAUGCCCAAGGCCAGAGAGAGAGGAACUGCAGCUGGGGAUAACACCACCAGUCGGCUUCUGUACACUCAUUUGAGGUCUACAGUGACUUCCCUGAAUCUCUGCCAGAGCGUCGCAUCCUCUAAGACAACCUGGAGCUGUUUCUCAGUGGGGUCGCCUUUGUCUCUCCCGGCCCGGAGUUCGCUCUCCACGACGCUGAGGAGCCUGGAGACGGUGCAGUCGCUGGGCUUUUUGCAGCCCAGGUCUGCCAUGACGACUUCACUGCCAGAAACUUCAGACUGAAACAAUGCAUGGAAAUUGCGUUCACGCUGAUGCGGACUCUGACUGAAGGAGCUGGUAACAGUCAAGAUAGUUACACAGAGAAGGUAGUCUUAAAAUAUUUCCACCAGGCACGUUGAAUAAAUGCAUUAACCUUGUUCCUCUACCUUCCUAAAUCAAAAUGUAAUAGUAGGAGACCCUUCUGCACUGAGGUUUCAAUGCACCAAGGAGAAGGUAGCAUCUCCGUGCUCCACCAUUGAUGCCUGCUGUGUCCAUCUCUUGGUCCCACUGUCAUUGAUAAAACCCCUGCUGCACCUCACAAGCCGUUGAACUCUUCUCUGGCUGCAUUUUCAGAGACAUGGAAGCAUUUCCCUGUGCUUCUGGGGCUGAGUGUCAGCCUAACUGCUGAGGCCUGGCAUUGCUGACGGGCUCAAGAUCUGUCGCUGACAAGCCUGAUCCAACUGCACGUACUCUUGCAAAGGGCAGCCAUAAAAGAAGGCACCAUUUUACUGAGAAGUCCAACAAUUUCAGCACUCAGCCAGGAAUAGGAGAGACCUGGGUUCAGGUCCAUGCAAAAGGAUUAAGUGGAGACCACGUGAAUAUUGGUGACCCAUAAACAUUGGACCUUGGCACAUAACGAAGCAUUUCUCCUGAUGAAUCUAGCUCAGAUACCAUCCGAGAAGUUUCUGGUCUGUCGGACAUAACAUAGUCAGGGGCUUGAUCAUGAAAACAUACUGUUGGAGUUUGUUUUUAGAGAAAUACAUUUUCUAGUUACUUACUGA